UUCCUUAACAAGGACUUGGACAAAUCAGGAAGUCUGUUGCCACUGAUGUUUGGGACCAAAGAAGGCCUUCAGUGUCUUCCUCGAUCCAGUUUUCACAAGGAUUUGAAAAAAGGCAAAAUGAAUGUUCAUCCAUUCUGAUAGCAAACCAUUCACCUGUUCGACAGAGUGGAAUAACGGUUCCUUCCAGGUCAGGUGCCACAAGUGGAGUUUUCACCUGGACUCAAGAACACCUCAAAAGCUCCUGCCCAUUCCAACUACUCAAACUUCCCCCAGAAGCCACUCCAGGAAGAACAGGGCUCUUUGCUAUGAUCAAGACAACUGAAGCAGCUAUUAGGAGCUUGUCACAACAGUCCAACAGGGCAGUCUCUGAUAAAAUUCUGUGCAAAGUGACUAGCUAUUAGGAAUAAAGCAAAAUGCCUC
Molecule: long non-coding RNA, 420 nt
Organism: Lacerta agilis (Sand lizard)
Lineage: Eukaryota; Metazoa; Chordata; Lepidosauria; Squamata; Lacertidae
Exons: 3
Source: RefSeq, a predicted model, not a curated record